This 238-nucleotide ribosomal RNA is filed under the name uncultured archaeon. Its description in RNAcentral is "partial 16S ribosomal RNA". It matches the Rfam family "Bacterial small subunit ribosomal RNA", at positions 524 to 755 of the family's 1533-position model. The record is from RNAcentral.
UACGAAGGGUGCAAGCGUUAAUCGGAAUUACUGGGCGUAAAGCGCGCGUAGGUGGUUCAGCAAGUUGGAUGUGAAAGCCCUGGGCUCAAACCUGGGAACUGCAUCCAAAACUACUGAGCUAGAGUACGGGUAGAGGGUAGUGGAAUUUCCUGUGUAAGCGGUGAAAAUGCGUAGAUAUAGGAAGGAACACCAGUGGCCGAAGGCGACUACCUGGACUGAUACUGACACUGAGGUGGCG